RNAcentral lists this ribosomal RNA (500 nucleotides) under uncultured bacterium. RNAcentral's name for it is "partial 16S ribosomal RNA". It matches the Rfam family "Bacterial small subunit ribosomal RNA", at positions 30 to 523 of the family's 1533-position model. The record is from RNAcentral.
AUUGAACGCUGGCGGCAUGCUUUACACAUGCAAGUCGAACGGCAGCACGGGGGCAACCCUGGUGGCGAGUGGCGAACGGGUGAGUAAUAUAUCGGAACAUGUCCGGAAGUGGGGGAUAACGUAGCGAAAGUUACGCUAAUACCGCAUAUGCCCUGGGGGGGAAAGGGGGGGAUCGCAAGACCUCUCGCUGUCGGAGUGGCCGAUAUCAGAUUAGCUAGUUGGUGGGGUAAAGGCCUACCAAGGCAACGAUCUGUAGCUGGUCUGAGAGGACGACCAGCCACACUGGGACUGAGACACGGCCCAGACUCCUACGGGAGGCAGCAGUGGGGAAUUUUGGACAAUGGGGGCAACCCUGAUCCAGCCAUGCCGCGUGAGUGAAGAAGGCCUUCGGGUUGUAAAGCUCUUUCGGACAGAAAGAAAUCGUGCAGAAUAAUACUCUGUAUGGAUGACGGUACUGUAAGAAGAAGCACCGGCUAACUACGUGCCAGCCGCCGCAGUAA